Molecule: long non-coding RNA, 511 nt
Filed under: Bos indicus x Bos taurus (hybrid cattle)
Lineage: Eukaryota; Metazoa; Chordata; Mammalia; Artiodactyla; Bovidae
Description: lncRNA (ENSBIXG00000028267.1)
Source: RNAcentral
CUCCUACAUAUUUCACCAUAAAAAGUUAACCGCGAUAAACAGACUAGAAACCUCACUGUGAGUUGAAAUGUGCUUAUAUUUAUCACAGAUUCCUAGGUACAGGACUAUGGCAACUGAAAGGGGACGGUGCUUUUUAACUUUUUUUGAGGUGGGGGAGGGGAGAUGGUGAGGUGAUGGAGAAUUUUCGGGCCUGCGAAGUAGCCCACAGGUUUUUUACCAUGGUUGCAAAGCUCUUGAUGAGCUGAGUGCAAAUCAGGUAAUCCAUAUUGCCAUGUCAGGAAGCAAGGACCAGGAGUGGAAGUGAGGGCUCCAAAACUUAUGGCUGGGUGGCCAUAUGAGAUUCUCAAAGGCGUCAGUGCCUCCAAAAGAAAAAAACAAGAAAACCAACAUUGAGAACUCCCAGUAUAAAGUGACCAGAGAGGAGAGCCUAGGACCAAAUGCUGAAAAACACACAUUUGAAAAAAUAAACUUAUUAAUUUGUUUCUCUUUUGGCUGUGCUGGGUCUUGGUUG